UUUUUUUUUUUUUUUUUUUUUUUUUGAGACUGAGUCUUGCUCUAUUGCCCAGGCUGGAGUUCUGUGGUUGAAUCUCGGUUCACUGCAACCUCCACCUCCCAGGUUCAAGCAAUUCUCAUGCCUCAGCCUCCUGAGCAGCUGAGACUACAGGUGCUCACCACCAUGCCAGGCUAAUUUUUUUAUUUUUAGUAGAGAUGGGGUUUCAUCAUAUUGGCCAGGCUGGUCUUGAGCUCCUGACCUCAAGUGAUCCGCCUACCUCAGCCUCCCAAAGUGCUGGGAUUACAGGUGUGAGCCACCGCCCCUGGCCAAUAAUAAGGGUUCUUUAUGAAGAUUUGUGAGGGGCCAGUUUGGAGGGUUGGAUGGAGGGCUAGGCAGGCCAGUGAGAAGGGAAGCUGAGCAGCAAUUGUCCAGCUCACAGAAAAUGCUGUGGCCAGGACUGAGAUGGGGCAGGCAGAUGACAUCAGGGCUGUUCUUGGGGUUGAAUAAGCAGGACUUGGUGACAUUGGUCACAGGUGGUCGAGGAAGGGAGAAAUUUUAGACAACCCAGCCUCGAGUUCUUUCUGAGCCAGCUUUGAAAUUUUAAACAGCUGUGUUUUCUCACUUGGGCAAAGUCACUCAGUCCUGAGACUUCCCCCACUGCGGGCUCCAGGAGACCUGACCUUUCAGCAGUAUUUACAGUAUCGACCAGCUAAUUUUAGACACUAACAGCAGCAGGAUAAUAGGGUAAAAGGCGACCUCACUGGAGCUGCUGUAGCCGGUGCGCUUCCCAAGAUAGUGUCAUUCACGGAUGAAGCCAGGGUUCAUUGGAGGCCGACUUCGGGCCCAGCCUGGGCAUCGACGGUGUGUGUAUAAAUAACUCAUCCUUGUUAAGUCAGUAGAGCGAAGGCAUCUUUUCCAAGGGGGUGGCCCCCAGCUUUCUGGUUCAGGCUCUCUUCUGGCUGGACAUGGAUCCCCAGUGACCUCACCCACUCCCCUGCCUUCCCCAAACCCCUUCAGCACCUUCCUGUUUCCCAGUGUGCUCUGACCUUCACCUCAGCAGCCCUUCCUCCAAGGCUCUUCUAAGGCUGAGUUCCCACCUUGGCAGGGACUUCCUGGCGCAGGACAGAGCCAGAAGCGGGAGCACAGCAUCCCUGGGAUGGCAUUCCGGCAGUCACCAGACCAGUUAUUAGCCGUGGCCCUUAAGCAAGUUGUUCAACUACUCCGAGCCUCAGUUUCCGUAGCUGUAAAAUGGUGAUUGUCUUAGUGGAGCAAGUGUGAGAGACACUGGUGUGAGGGCAAGAGCUGGCUCCUUCCUUCUCCGAGAAGGGUUAACCCUCUAAGUAGCUCCUUGGAGCGCGGCAACACAUGCUGUUCCCUUGACGCCACCUCCAGGUCGAAUGCCUCUGUCUCUGUGUUUGCUGGAAACCGUCCAGCACCGUCUGGCCCUGCUGUGAGCAGCCUGUGGAGCUGCGUGCGGCCGCUCCCCCGUGGC
Molecule: long non-coding RNA, 1471 nt
Filed under: Macaca fascicularis (crab-eating macaque)
Lineage: Eukaryota; Metazoa; Chordata; Mammalia; Primates; Cercopithecidae
Description: lncRNA (ENSMFAG00000054021.1)
Source: RNAcentral